Long non-coding RNA from Mauremys reevesii (Reeves's turtle), 1030 nucleotides. RefSeq lists it as uncharacterized. The transcript is spliced from 3 exons. The record is from RefSeq and is a predicted model, not a curated record. Lineage: Eukaryota; Metazoa; Chordata; Testudines; Geoemydidae.
AAAGAUUCUUGUGAUUUGUUAUUUAUUUAUUUAUUUAAGAAUCUGUAACAUCUCUGUUGCUUGCUGCAGGCCUUUGAAAUUCAGGAGAGGGAAGAGAAGGCCCUUUUCUUCAUCCCAUGAAAUUCCAUUCAAGUUUGACUGAGAUAUCAACUGCAGGCCAAUCUCCCGCCAACCACCCUCACUGCGGACACAGCACUUGGCACCAGCUGCCCAUUCGGGAUAGCGGCUUUGUGAUAAUGCCAGCUAACGUGCUUAGUCCUGUAGCUCAAGUGUUAGAUGUCUGUUCUGGGGCUGAAGGCUCAUGGUUCAAACUCUGCUGUUGGUUCACAAUGGAGGGGCACACAGGUAGAAUCUCAAAGAUAUGAACACCAGAGUUACCGACCAGUCAACUGGACACCAUGUGAAACCGGAAGUAACCAAUCAGGCAGCAGCCGACACAAAAAAGAAGCGAAUACUGUACUGUGCCUGUAUUGCAUCUUAAAGGUGGCGCCAUUACUCAAGAAGAAACACUGGAGGCAACAGAAUGUUUUCCCGCAAUACGGCCCUCUCCUCUGAUGGGUUUUCAUUAGAUAUCUACACACAGUUUCAGAACUUUCUUCUCUAGUAAAAUGUCUUUUUAAUAGCAUUCCUGAUUCCAGAUUAUUUGUUAGUAAUGAUGUCAUCUGCUCUCUCUCAAAAAAGGGAGACUAUUAUAGCUCAUAUAAGCCUUUUACCCCCUUUAAACUAAUCAUAUCAAAAUCUUGGCAAAGGUUUCAGUUUCCAGACUCAAGAUUCUUCUGCCGGAAGUUGUAAAUAAAGACCAAAUUGACUUUAUUGAAAAAGAGAAAAAUCUUGCUAACAAUAAAAGACCAUGAAAUGUUUUCCAUUCUACCUGAUCAGAGAAAUCUGCUAGUAGCCUUCUCGCUCUCAUUAACUCCAGACUGUGCUGUAUCAUUAUUACCAACAUUUGUGAUAGCCUUAGAACAAUGACUUGAAUUACCCAGGCUUUCUCCCUGAGUGCACGUGUUUCCAGUUCAGCUGCACCAUAGAA